Cavia porcellus (domestic guinea pig) is the source of this 2179-nucleotide long non-coding RNA. RefSeq lists it as uncharacterized. The transcript has 2 exons. NCBI's taxonomy places the organism in Eukaryota, Metazoa, Chordata, Mammalia, Rodentia, Caviidae. The record is from RefSeq and is a predicted model, not a curated record.
UGUGUCUCUCUGUCUCUCAGAUUAUGGGCAAUAAUAUCCCAAUAGCAAGAGGUUAUGGAGGAGAGGAGAAGGAAUCCUUCACUUCAGAUGAGGUUAGGAGGAUGAGUAAAAUGUAAGAAAUGGUACAAAAUUUUGUAGAAAAGCAUCAUCCAAAUAAGGGUGUGGCAGUGUGAGCAAUGAAUCCCUUUAAGGACAAUGCAGUGUCACAUUUCCAGGAACUCCUUGAAAGGAGGCAAAAGCAAGUGGCAUUUGAUAGGUUCCUUGUUAGAGUUGCACGAAAAGAAGACUCCACUGAGCCAACAGACAGCAGUAAUUCCCUCAGUGACAGCGACAGUGACAGUCAUGCUACACAGUCACCCUCCUCUCUUGUCUCCCUCAUACCAGCCAUGAAGGUUUUCAAAGAAUAAUGAUGUCGUCGACUGCCCACUGGUCAUAGUCCUCCCCGGAGAACACGGGCUGCCACCAGCGGAAUCUGGUGCACAAGGUCUUAGCCGCAGCCGGAAGCUCCAGAUAGACGAAUCUGCAUAAAAGCAAAUCACCACGGUCGGGAAAAGAAAAGCUGGGUUUUCCUGAGCAGUUAAUGAAAUAAUAAGGGAAGCAACUGAGGAUAUUUAGUGUUGUUGGAUCUUUUGACAUUUCUGAAGUUCCUAAAUUUGGACUGACAAGAAGUUUAAUGUUAUAAGAGAGCUGAGUUGGAUCAUGUUGAUUUCAUUUGAAAUUGCAUCUUCUGGAGAAGAGAGAAAAAUAUUGCAGCUACUUUGAUUUACCAAGUUCUUUUGAUUACUAUAACUGUAACAGGAAAGUUAAAAAUCAACAAUCUGAUGCCCUAUUAAGACAGGAUGUGCUCACCCAGCCCAGCACAUAGUCAGACCACUAGACUCAGCCUUAACCGAUCACGUCAGUUGCAACUUAGAGGUAGUCAGACCUGACUCAGUCUGACCGCAUCCACCUGGACUGCCUGUACUGUCUGACAUGCAAACAGAUUCUAUUUUCAAGGACUGUCCAACCAAGAUUAACUACCGAAAGACAUGUUUAGUUACAACCUCUCAGCCCCAGCUCCCUCCCUAGAUUCUCCUGCCCUAGGAUAGACAAUUCCUUUUUAAGGUAAACCUGCUGGAACAAAUCUGCUUUGCAACAUAUGACCUAACAUAAACUGAUUUGCUAUUAGCUUUUGUACUCCCUGCUUGCAACCUUAUAAAAACUAAAUCCAAAAUUGAUUUGAGGCUGGUGAUUUGGGACUUGGUCCCAACAGUCUGCUAGCGUAAGAAACAGUUGCCUUCCAACUCCUUGGUGCAAAGGAUCUUCCAUUUGGUUUGAUAUCAGAUUUCUGCAACAUAACAAUGGCCAUAACCUUUUAAAGACAUAUCAAGAAAAAACAAUUCUUUGCAGGUUAACACAACAAAAUAGCAUUUAAGAAAAUUUCCAAAGGAACUCGUACUCAUUAUAGGAAAAUAUAAAUAUGCAUUAAAAAUGAAACAUGACUGUUCUGUUUGAUAGUAUCAAGUUUGAGGGUAUAGGCAACUACUUUGAAGGCAAUAAGAUUCACUAUGAUGCCCAUUCUGGUUUGACUAUUAUCUUCUUUUGAAGUUCUGUAAUGUUUCCAAUGUUUAGGUUUUAUUGGUCUUGUUCUGUACUGUUUUGUUCAGUUUUAUUAUACCUGAUGAUAUAGGCAAUUCUUUUUAAGGAAGCAAGAGGCAUUAUGGUAACCAUUGUUGAUAACCUUGUAUUCUGUUUUUACAUCAUGUGCUAUGUCUAUCCUUUGUUUUGACCAACUGCUUUGUUUUGUCAUAUUUGGUUUUAUUCUUUUACAAAAAAAGUAAUAAGAACUAUGGUAGUAAUAAAACUCAAAAUGUAUAAGUUUUGUUGUAAAAAAGAGAGGAAAAAAAUGUGCUGUAAAGGAUACAACUGCAAGUGUGUAUGGAUGUGUUAAGAUAGAUAACUAUAUUACUGAGUUUUUGUUGGAUCAUUGAACACAACUGUUUGCAGUCUCACUGUUUGAAUGUCCACUUUGUAUGCUUUAAUCCUGUAACUUGAACAACUGUUUCUAAGAUAACAAUAUGUAAUCUAUUAACUAGUGAUUUUUUUAAUCAUUUUUUUGUAAUUCUGUAUUACUUGUACCCUUAUACUGUUUUGUUUUUUUUUCCUUUAAAUAAAAAAAAAGAAACAUGAACCACCUUAA